Carassius gibelio (silver crucian carp) is the source of this 495-nucleotide long non-coding RNA. RefSeq lists it as uncharacterized. The transcript has 2 exons. The record is from RefSeq and is a predicted model, not a curated record. Lineage: Eukaryota; Metazoa; Chordata; Actinopteri; Cypriniformes; Cyprinidae.
CUCGGCUCUACGACGUAGCCUCCUUAAGCACCUGUCACGCGCAUUCGUUAGCGCUUUCCUUAAUGAGUUGGAUCUCAAGGCUCUCUGUUGCUGAUGAGAUACAAGCUGAGUGUGGCUACUGUUCCGUGUCAGAGCCUGUUAAAUCAGCUGUGGGCGUGCGGGGACGCGACUGGGGCCAUGAUUAAAUGUUGAUAGCAAUGAUGUGCAGUCAGCGAUUAAAAACGGGCCAUUCGCUGAUGGCUAAUGCUCGGUUUAACCUCUGACUGCCGAGACUGCGAGCUGAAGAGGGAGGGAGUCAGAACGACGGGAAUAAUACAAAUACAAUGUACUGUGUGAGCGAGCUGACGCAGUGGCUGGGAAAGAAAGCGCGAAUGAGGUGUGAUGCACUGGAGAGGAAUGGAGAUACAGAGGCUGCCUGGUGGAGGAAGAAAGGGAGACAGCGCCACCAGGUGGACAUUAUACUGCAAAGAGUCUCAUAAAAAAAUAUUGCAGUUA